Molecule: ribosomal RNA, 1392 nt
Filed under: Triticum aestivum (bread wheat)
Lineage: Eukaryota; Viridiplantae; Streptophyta; Magnoliopsida; Poales; Poaceae
Description: partial small subunit ribosomal RNA
Source: RNAcentral
AUGUCCGAGAAUAUGAACCAUGCACAUAUAUUCAGGCGCAUACACAAAAGACAGAUGGCAGAUUGUGGUGUGAACAAAGAUGGGCAAAAAAUUGCUGUGAAGAUAAUGGCAGGACCUAAGGGCUACUCGCAAAGUUGUGACAUAUCCCCAAGCGAAAAAUUCAUUGAGCUUCUAGUUGGAAAAUGGAGGAAUAGGCUACAGGCAACACCAAUGGGUGCGUUGGAGUCCAUCUGCCAGCAAGUCAGGACAUGCAUUAUGCUAGCUUUACAAUGUGUGGACCCUGAUCGGCACAAGAGGCCGGUGAUAGGGUCCAUUUGUUUUUCGCUAGCAUAUACAGGGGCGAUAUGGACCCCUAGUUAUUAUACUAUCGGUGAAGUGGUGGACGACAACAAGUUGGAUAAAAUGGUAAGGUACACGGGCAAACCUAAGACGCAGGUAGACCGAGCACGAGAGGCCUUGAACCUAGUGCACGAGGAAAAUAAGGAGAUCUUGGCUUUUAGGACAUUGGCCCGUAUUGUACCAUUUUCCAAAACGGGUACGCACUGCCUCAUCUAUAACGCGACCGGUGAUAACCUCCACUAUGUCGACAACCACGACUGGCACGGUCACAUUGUUGACGAUACGUCGUACCCACGAGUUAUCGGCAAUGGACAAUGGGCCAUCAUCCAUCAUGAGUACUCAUUUUCUAAAGGUUCAACUGCUUGCGUGGUAUACCGUGGCAAGAUCAAAGAUGGUCAGUACAAGGAUUACCUGCUUGCCUGGACCGCUCAGAUCCGCCCGUUUACGAGCAACAAGGGGUCUGAUAAUUCUUCGACUGCCAAGUUCGAUAGACACGAGAUUGACACAAUAAUUUGCCAAGAUCGUUAUCUCCCCAAGUUUAUCGCAAUAAUCUCGCUGAUGACCCAUCUCGGCGGAAAAGCGACGUCUACGGUGCCAUGGGACAACUGCGGUGGCUUAAUGAAUUUUAUUGUCAUGGAUGAUGAUCUCGUACCAGAACAGCGUGCACUCCAUAUCCUGCCCCUCCGCUUUGCCCUUGAUAGAGAUCUGUCAUUCCUACCAGCUUUGUACUCAUCCACCGUCCUAGAAGAGGCUUACUUAAGACGUGUAUCAGCAUGCUUGGCAACAGAUGGAAUCAUGAUUAAUAUGGUGGUUGGUGGUGAGGUAGCUCUUCUAAAGUCUAUGGAAGAAACCAGUGGAUUCGUCAUUGCAGAGAUGCCAAUACAUUUGCAAAGAAACAGCCCAAUUGGUAUUGCCAUGAAAUGCUGCAGCUUUGUCAGAAUUGGAGCAGUAAAGCUUGCCGGUGGUGUGAAUCCUGGUUUGAAGCCAACCGAAGUUGCUGAAGCUGAAACAAACAUGGCCUUCAUCCACUUCCAGUCUUCUUUCUCCUAUUAG